This is an RNA transcript of Strongylocentrotus purpuratus (purple sea urchin), 5855 nucleotides long. It is a transcript of the gene named alanine--tRNA ligase, cytoplasmic, with no coding region annotated. NCBI's taxonomy places the organism in Eukaryota, Metazoa, Echinodermata, Echinoidea, Camarodonta, Strongylocentrotidae. The record is from RefSeq and is a predicted model, not a curated record. The transcript has 28 exons.
CCGCGCCGCUACCGCGGGGCCUGCGCCAGGCCUCGCUACGCUAGCGCCGUGUACACUGUCGGAUUUCUCACAGGCUGUCACAGCGUUCGUCGAUUUUCGUCGACAAUCUGAACUCAUGUUGGUUGGAUUUAGAUAUCAAUCAUCAUGUCUUCCACAACUAAGAAGCGUGGCAAGAAGUUACAGACUUUUAAAGAAGAAAUGGAAAUGCAUCGUUCCUUCAAAGAAAAGCCUGAAUCAUGCUAGGUGCACGAUAUGUGCAUCAGAUUUCAACAUUGGACAUGGCGGGGCAAACCUUUCAACAGAACACUUUCAAUGUGGAGUUGACAGCAACUAAUGAGCUUACCAUGCUUACAGGUGCAAGGACGCUGCAAAAGACUAUAGACCUCUAGUAACAUAUCAAGACAUUUUGUCAUGAGUUCAUCCAGUCUUUCAGUAGAAUACUUUCAAUAUGGAGUUACAUGCACAUGUAACACCAACUAAUGAACAGGCGACUGGAGUGCGUCCAUACACAGGGAACAUUGGAGCAGAUGAUGUUGAUGGUGUAGACAUGGCUUACAGGGUAGUGGCUGAUCAUAUUCGCACAUUGACCAUAGCUCUCUUGGACGGAAGCUGGCCAGAUAAUGUUGGAAGAGGAGCGUAUGAAGCACUCAACGUCAAGCAUGAAAAUCUGUCGCUGAUUCAACCCCGAUUCGUGGUGCCCCUGCCUCCUCUUCAACCAGCGGUACUGAAGAUCAUCUGGAGUAUUAUGUUCAUGAGUGUGGAGACAUCUUAAACCAUCAGCAUGAAGCUACCGGCAGACUAAACAGACGCUAAACACAUUAUGGAGCAUGUCUUUGCACAGGUGUCGGAAUUCAAGAAACUCAACCAAGCGACUGGAGUGCGUCUAUACACAGGGAACGUUGGAGCAGAUGAUGUUGAUGGUGUAGACAUGGCUUACAGGGUAGUGGCUGAUCAUAUUCGCACAUUGACCAUAGCUCUCUUGGACGGAAGCUGGCCAGAUAAUGUUGGAAGAGGAGCGUAUGAAGCACUCAACGUCAAGCAUGAAAAUCUGUCGCUGAUUCAACCCCGAUUCGUGGUGCCCCUGCCUCCUCUUCAACCAGCGGUACUGAAGAUCAUCUGGAGUAUUAUGUUCAUGAGUGUGGAGACAUCUUAAACCAUCAGCAUGAAGCUACCGGCACACUCAACAGACGCUAAACACAUUAUGGAGCAUGUCUUUGCACAGGUGUCGGAAUUCAAGAAACUCAACCAAGCGACUGGAGUGCGUCUAUACACAGGGAACGUUGGAGCAGAUGAUGUUGAUGGUGUAGACAUGGCUUACAGGGUAGUGGCUGAUCAUAUUCGCACAUUGACCAUAGCUCUCUUGGACGGAAGCUGGCCAGAUAAUGUUGGAAGAGGAGCGUAUGAAGCACUCAACGUCAAGCAUGAAAAUCUGUCGCUGAUUCAACCCCGAUUCGUGGUGCCCCUGCCUCCUCUUCAACCAGCGGUACUGAAGAUCAUCUGGAGUAUUAUGUUCAUGAGUGUGGAGACAUCUUAAACCAUCAGCAUGAAGCUACCGGCAGACUCAACAGACGCUAAACACAUUAUGGAGCAUGUCUUUGCACAGGUGUCGGAAUUCAAGAAACUCAACCAAGCGACUGGAGUGCGUCUAUACACAGGGAACGUUGGAGCAGAUGAUGUUGAUGGUGUAGACAUGGCUUACAGGGUAGUGGCUGAUCAUAUUCGCACAUUGACCAUAGCUCUCUUGGACGGAAGCUGGCCAGAUAAUGUUGGAAGAGGAGCGUAUGAAGCACUCAACGUCAAGCAUGAAAAUCUGUCGCUGAUUCAACCCCGAUUCGUGGUGCCCCUGCCUCCUCUUCAACCAGCGGUACUGAAGAUCAUCUGGAGUAUUAUGUUCAUGAGUGUGGAGACAUCUUAAACCAUCAGCAUGAAGCUACCGGCAGACUCAACAGACGCUAAACACAUUAUGGAGCAUGUCUUUGCACAGGUGUCGGAAUUCAAGAAACUCAACCAAGCGACUGGAGUGCGUCUAUACACAGGGAACGUUGGAGCAGAUGAUGUUGAUGGUGUAGACAUGGCUUACAGGGUAGUGGCUGAUCAUAUUCGCACAUUGACCAUAGCUCUCUUGGACGGAAGCUGGCCAGAUAAUGUUGGAAGAGGAGCGUAUGAAGCACUCAACGUCAAGCAUGAAAAUCUGUCGCUGAUUCAACCCCGAUUCGUGGUGCCCCUGCCUCCUCUUCAACCAGCGGUACUGAAGAUCAUCUGGAGUAUUAUGUUCAUGAGUGUGGAGACAUCUUAAACCAUCAGCAUGAAGCUACCGGCAGACUCAACAGACGCUAAACACAUUAUGGAGCAUGUCUUUGCACAGGUGUCGGAAUUCAAGAAACUCAACCAAGCGACUGGAGUGCGUCUAUACACAGGGAACGUUGGAGCAGAUGAUGUUGAUGGUGUAGACAUGGCUUACAGGGUAGUGGCUGAUCAUAUUCGCACAUUGACCAUAGCUCUCUUGGACGGAAGCUGGCCAGAUAAUGUUGGAAGAGGAGCGUAUGAAGCACUCAACGUCAAGCAUGAAAAUCUGUCGCUGAUUCAACCCCGAUUCGUGGUGCCCCUGCCUCCUCUUCAACCAGCGGUACUGAAGAUCAUCUGGAGUAUUAUGUUCAUGAGUGUGGAGACAUCUUAAACCAUCAGCAUGAAGCUACCGGCAGACUCAACAGACGCUAAACACAUUAUGGAGCAUGUCUUUGCACAGGUGUCGGAAUUCAAGAAACUCAACCAAGCGACUGGAGUGCGUCUAUACACAGGGAACGUUGGAGCAGAUGAUGUUGAUGGUGUAGACAUGGCUUACAGGGUAGUGGCUGAUCAUAUUCGCACAUUGACCAUAGCUCUCUUGGACGGAAGCUGGCCAGAUAAUGUUGGAAGAGGAGCGUAUGAAGCACUCAACGUCAAGCAUGAAAAUCUGUCGCUGAUUCAACCCCGAUUCGUGGUGCCCCUGCCUCCUCUUCAACCAGCGGUACUGAAGAUCAUCUGGAGUAUUAUGUUCAUGAGUGUGGAGACAUCUUAAACCAUCAGCAUGAAGCUACCGGCAGACUCAACAGACGCUAAACACAUUAUGGAGCAUGUCUUUGCACAGGUGUCGGAAUUCAAGAAACUCAACCAAGCGACUGGAGUGCGUCUAUACACAGGGAACGUUGGAGCAGAUGAUGUUGAUGGUGUAGACAUGGCUUACAGGGUAGUGGCUGAUCAUAUUCGCACAUUGACCAUAGCUCUCUUGGACGGAAGCUGGCCAGAUAAUGUUGGAAGAGGAGCGUAUGAAGCACUCACCUUCAAGCAUGAAAAUCUGUCGCUGAUUCAACCCCGAUUCGUGGUGCCCCUGCCUCCUCUUCAACCAGCGGUACUGAAGAUCAUCUGGAGUAUUAUGUUCAUGAGUGUGGAGACAUCUUAAACCAUCAGCAUGAAGCUACCGGCAGACUCAACAGACGCUAAACACAUUAUGGAGCAUGUCUUUGCACAGGUGUCGGAAUUCAAGAAACUCAACCAAGCGACUGGAGUGCGUCUAUACACAGGGAACGUUGGAGCAGAUGAUGUUGAUGGUGUAGACAUGGCUUACAGGGUAGUGGCUGAUCAUAUUCGCACAUUGACCAUAGCUCUCUAGGACGGAAGCUGGCCAGAUAAAGUUGGAAGAGGGUCAUGAAAUUGUACACAACUUUGUGAGAUAUGCAACUUUGCGUGAACAACAAGCACUCCCCCCUAAACAUAGGUAGGCUGUCCGCCGAAACUCCAGGCCUGGCAUUAGGCCUCUGCCUGGUAUGACUCUGACUGUGAAGCAGAUAGAUCUUAUAUCAAUUAGUCUACUUGUUAGAUGCCAAAAAGAAUAAUUGCAAUAAGCCAUAAGGUAAGUAGGACUACAAUUUAUUGUGUUAUUGUGCUAAUACUGAAUGCCCAUGAUAUCGCAGCUUCGGACGUCGGUACGUACAGUAUCGGCAUGUUCAAGAUUCACCCCCUUAUGGCUGUUGUUCUAGGCUUAUUUUUUGUAUUUCUCAUUUCUUGGCAUUGAUACUGCACAUACAGAAUGCAAAGACAUGCACGAUAAUAAAGAGAGCAAUUAUUGUGCAAAUACUGAAUCUCCAUGAUAUUGCAGCGUCGGUACAGCACCAGCAUGUUUAAGAUUCACCCCCCUUAUGUUUUGUAUUUCUCAUUUGUUGGCAUUGUCACUUCACAUAUCAAAUGCAAAGACAUGUACGAUAAUAAAGAUAGCUUUCCUGACCUAGUAUUUGCAAGGAAAAAUUCAAAAAAGGCAUAUGAAGGCUACGUUAAUGCGCGAAUACAGAAUGUUCAUGUUCAGCAUCCGUAUAGCAUCGACAUGUUGAAGAUCCAGCCCCCCCUUAUUUUUUGUAUGUCGCAUUUGUUGGCAUUGACAUUUACACAUGAAAUGUAAAGACAUAAAACAGCCGUCCUGACCUAGCAUAUACAAGGAAAAAUUCAAAAAAGGUCUCUGAUUGCUGCGUUAUGGUGCAUAAAAGUUGUCAGCGUCACUAAACAUAGGACAUUUUCUAAUCCCCCCCCCCUCUUCCCCCUUAUUGUGCUCCAAUUCUUUGUUCUACCCAAUUUGAUGUUUCUAGUGGUCAAUUCAUUAGAAAUGAGUGGAGCCUAAGCCUACUACUUAGGCCAAAGCUAAGUAGGCCUAGCAGAAACUCACGCCGUUCCGAUUGAGUACAUAUAACGGAGUGACACCUGAAAUCAGAGUAAUCACGUGAUCGGAAUAUUUUACCUCGCCACCAAAAUCCCAGGUGGACCUAGCAGUCCCACAUUACUUUGCGGUGCCUUAGGCAUGAUCGAUGCAAACUUAUUCACAACCUUUUAACCCACUAAAUCGGAGCAGUGUAUUUAUCCGGAUAAUACGCGUAGAUAGACACUGCCCAUUCCCUGGUACUAUAUGCUAUUUUCCGGAAAACAAAUGAACCGGAUAAUUUCAGUAAAACUAAUAGAAACAUGCUGUUUGUGUUCCUUCUUUCUAUCACAAUCUCUUUCUUUCAUCGUGUCUUCAUUUCCUUCUCAAUUGUCAUUGUCCCUUAUAUUACAUUCUCUAUCUCAAAUGUCACUUUUCCUCAUAUUGUUUUCCUCAGAAAAUUCAUGCAAAGGACCUGGAAAAUCUGCAGAAAUAAACCCUAGGACUACUUUGACCAACGGAGGUUGGUGGUUUGGCAGUUGAAGGCUUAAGAAACUUGCUGACCAUCCUGGGUACAACCCCAACAGUCAAUGCCUCUAGCUACGACAGGCACAUAGCCACUUUUAAAUCGAUAUCUCAAGAGACCAGCGAGGAACACAUGAAGAGGGCGGCGGUAUGCCUACAACAAAGGGCAAUGGACAAGGACCCGACCAUCAGGAAAAAUGACCGUGUGGACAUCACUUCUACUACCAACCUAUCCAUUCUUCUUUACUACUUCUACUACCUCCACUACCACCCUAUCCGUUCUCCCUUGCUCCCCUCCCUCUUUCAUUCUCGCCAGAUCUGGCAAUCAUUAAAUAUCUUAAUAUUUCUUACCCCUCCCUCAUCUGUCUUUCUUUUCUCCCUCCUGAAUGGACAAUGCUCUUCCUUACUUUUAUUACUACCUCUGCUACCACCUUACUCUACAACCUUACCUCUGCUCUUCCUUACUACUUCUACUUCCACUUUCCCUCAUCAUGUUCCCUCUUUCUAUAACCAUCUCCACGUUCUCUGUCUUUAUUAUCACCCCCCCCCCUUUUUUUAUUGCAUUCUCUAUCUCAACUGCCACUUUCCAUCAUAUUGGUUUCACUCACUAUCUCAAUUUCAACUUUCCCUGUGUUUUUGUUCUCUCUCUCUCUCUCUCUCAAGUGCA